Molecule: small RNA, 131 nt
Filed under: Salmonella enterica subsp. enterica serovar Quebec str. S-1267
Lineage: Bacteria; Pseudomonadati; Pseudomonadota; Gammaproteobacteria; Enterobacterales; Enterobacteriaceae
Description: RtT sRNA
Rfam family: RtT RNA
About the family: This family represents a bacterial cis-regulatory element known as RtT RNA. The exact function of RtT is unknown although it is thought that it may be involved in changing the cellular response in relation to amino acid starvation.
Source: RNAcentral
AUAUCUCUCUGUACGGGAAGGAUGAGAAGCUUCGACUAAGGUUCGAUUCGAGCGCAGCGAGAAAGCGUUGCCAACGGCAACGACCCGAAGGGCGAAGCGCGCAGCGCUGAGUCAUCCUUUCCCCACCACCA